CGGGGGGGUGAAGCGUCAACAGCUCAAAUUAAUGAUACCCAGCUGGCGGGGGCCUUUUAGGGUCCGCAUUCGUAAUUAUGGAGGCGAGGAUGAUUCGGCGAGGGCUCCUGCCUCAAGUCCCCCGUGGAGACGGGGCCGUCAUAGUAGGGUGAGAAUCCCGUUAUCCGCGGUAGGCCCUUGCCCUUAGCCAUGUGAAUCUCCUUCGACGAGUCGAGUUGUUUGGGAGGAUGCAGUCUCUAAAUGGGAGGUAAAAUUUCUUCUAAAGCUAUAAUACUCGCGCCAGAGACCGAUAGCGCACAAGUAGAGCCUGAUCGAAACGAUGACAAAGCAACUUUGCGAAAUGAGAGUUAAAAAGUACGUGAAAUUGUUGAAAGGGAAGCGCUUGCAACCAGACUUGUCCGCAGUUGCUCCACCAGGGUCUCCUGACCGUGCGUACUCUUCUGCGGCCAGGCCAACAUCAAUUUCGGGCGUUGGCGGAUAAAAGCUUGCGGGAACCGUGUGUCUCCUCUCUGGGAUGGGUUAUUCCUUUCCCGGGGUGAACGCAUUCCCUGAUCGAGGAGAGAUGAUUUCGCCACGGCCGAGACGCCUUCACCAACGAUGUUGUACGGGGCCCUUCCAUGAAUCAGGGGGCAAGGUUUACCAUCUUUUUUGUGGGCCAAUGUUCGGGUGCUCAUACCUCAUAUCGCUUCUGAAAGAAAGUGACCGGAGGGGGGACAACGGCCAACGGGGGCGGUCCCCCACUCCUGUUCAAUUUCUUCAGAUGGAUUUGGGGAUUGACAACCGAGCCCUAUCGGCACCCGAAAUAUGGGGUCCACCUUUGGCCCGAAGUUAGGAGGAACCCCCAGACAAACUCUGUGGGAGGCUCCCAGCGGUUAAAACGUGUACAUCAUUUAUCGGUGGAAAUUGGGUAUACAGGGGCGAAAGAAUUACACCGACCCAUGUGGAAGCUUGUUUCCUGAGAGAUUUUUCCCUCACGGACAGCAGUAAAUGUCUUCAGUUUUCAAAAAAAAAACCCCGAAUGAUUAGAGGCCUGGGGGGUGAAAGCAGCAUUAACCUAUGGUCCUCAAACUUUAAAUAUGUAAAGAAGUCUCUUGUUUUUUUAGUUGACACGUGGACAUUCUUGAAUGUCACUUUUACUAGUGGGCGCAUUUUUGGGGUAAGCAGAUACUGGCGAUGCAAGGGAUGAACCGAACAGAGAUGUUAAGGUGCUCGGGUUAAUGCAGGGCGCCUCCAUCAGACACCCACCCAAAAGGUGUUAGAUAUCAUCCUAGACAGCAAGGACGGUGGCCAUGGAAAUGUACGGAAUCCGCUAAGGAGUGUGUAACAACUCACGGGCUGCCGAGAUGAACGUAGCCCUGAAAAUAGGAUCCGGCGCUUAUGCAAGCGUGCUACCCAUACAUCGCCGCGCAGGGUAUGAUUACGAUUGGCCGCUGGCGAGUAGGCAGGCGCGUGGAAGAAGCCACAGGCCCUCACGUUUUUUUUUCUCUCCCCUCCCUAUAACAGACCGCUCACCUCAUGAAUUAAUAGGGAUGUAUAAAAAAAACAAAA
RNAcentral lists this ribosomal RNA (1548 nucleotides) under Lasiodiplodia theobromae. RNAcentral's name for it is "partial large subunit ribosomal RNA". It matches the Rfam family "Eukaryotic large subunit ribosomal RNA", at positions 87 to 1426 of the family's 3401-position model. Lineage: Eukaryota; Fungi; Ascomycota; Dothideomycetes; Botryosphaeriales; Botryosphaeriaceae. The record is from RNAcentral.